AUGCGCCUCGUCAUGGGCUGCUGGGCUCCUUGGAGGAGACCUCCCUGCUUUGGAAGGGCAGGGCAGAGGCUGGUGGGGCUCUCUGUGCAGAACAGCAUUUUGCAGUCCCCAGUGUCAAGUGCAAGGCAGCCCAGUCCAGGCAGAGCACGCCGACGCCCAGAUCUUGGUCUGACACCAUCCUCUCCACAGUCCUCACUCCCAGAAGCAGCGAACCCAGAGACAGAGCCGCAGCGCAGAGGCUCCACGCGUCAUUUCCGUGUUUGGGCUGUGAGGUUAUUUUCUUCUAGAGAGACCAGCAUGGAAAGAGGGGAGGGGUCUUUGCAGUGGAGAGACCCAACGCACACCUCAGCCAGGGGAGUUUCUGGCUUGUGUGCUUGGCUGUUGCCCUGGCUCCAGCUGUUCCUGCUGCGCCUGCAGAGCCUCGUUCUCGCUGUGUCCUGGCUGCUGGGCCCCCGUCCUCGCCUGCCACUUCUCUCUCUCGGCACAGGACGCUCCCUGACUCAGCUGUCGGGGGGUUCUUCCACGCUCCCCGGGUGAUCCGAAUUGUUACAUCUUUGUGUUUUUGCAAGAAACAUUUCCCUCUUGCCAUGUCCCUGUCUUUCUGGCUCAGCUGUCUCUCUUGAAGGCCGCCUCCUCCCCUUACGUGGGGGCCGUGCCUCCCACAUCACACUGUAAAUGUCAGAGUUUUCCUCUUUCUCCAGAAAAUUAUCUUAAAAAAUUCUUCUGUGUCUUCAGAAUAAGGCUCCUUCUUCCGUGUUUCAUGCUCUUUCCCCAUAAUCCUGCACGCCCCUCCUUCUCCAAGGAAGGGCCGUCCGUUGAGACCCCAGUGGCCCCUCGUGAGCCCAGCAGAGCUGCCUCCUUGGUUUGGCUCAAUUCCCCCCAGUCUCCGUCUCACACGGCUGCCCUGUGAGCUCUUUGUGCAGGGGUGUGAAAGUCAGCCCCUCUGACCCCCACGGGCCCCCAGGGCCUGCUGGGUCUGGACAGACUCGGAGAACCAGUCCCUGCCCAUCUGCUGAGCACUGGUAGAGUUGUUGCAAACCCACUCUGGGCGUGGGCUGGUUCUGAGAAGGUUGGCUGUUCCUUUUCUGCAGGUUCCUGAUGUUCCUGACAGUGACUGAUCCCUGCAAGGGCCUCCGCGAGAGCUGUCAGGCACUGUGCAAGUGGGCGCAGCGUUGCCGUGGAGACCCGAGGAUCCCGGGCUCCAGGCUGCGUACCCUCCAGCCCAAUGCCCAGCCCUGCCCUGAGGAGAGAGCCAGGCACAGAGGGGUCGCGCCCCUGACGACUUGAUGGGAGGUCACCUUGCACUGCUUACCAGCAAGAUGUGGUAUCUAUUCC
Long non-coding RNA from Papio anubis (olive baboon), 1335 nucleotides. NCBI's taxonomy places the organism in Eukaryota, Metazoa, Chordata, Mammalia, Primates, Cercopithecidae. The record is from Ensembl.